CGCGCCGUCAGUUCUGUCCCGCCUCGCCUUCCUGCUGCGGGCUUCUGCCUCUCAGUGUCCAACUUUCGAGUUUUCUUGCCUUUUUUUGCUGUGAGUUGAGCCCCUACCGGGUCGUUUAGUCCCGCGGUCACGGGGAACGGUGGAGUUGAGAACCUGUGAUGAAACUCACCAGAGCAUACAUAGCUAGAGAAUGGCCGAACUGGAUUUUAAAUCUAGUCAAUCUUGACCCCAGAGCUCUCCAGCCUAAAGGAGUCAUCAUCCACAUUCCACAGAUGAGAAAAAGAAGCUUGGAGAAGGAGGCUUUAGGCUGCACAAUUAUUGCUGAGUAGAGCUGAAAUUCCAACCAUGUUUCUGUGGCUCCGAAGUCUGUACCUCUACCACCUGAUAUAAAAGACCAUGUGAUCACAACACAAGCUACAAAUAGCUCUGACUAAAUGUAAGCUAUCCUGGAAUUCAUCCCUUAAAUGGAGUGAUCUGCUUGGAGAUUUUUUAAAAAAGAAACAGAGAUCAGCAAAUUAUAGCUCCAACCUUGCUCACCAAAUAACCUGAGGCUGCUUCCAGUCUACAAGGGCAGAGCUGAGUAGUUGUGACAGAAACCACAUGAUCCACAGAAUUCAAAAUAUUUACCAUUUGCAGAAAAAGCAUGCUAAUCUGACCUCUGGGAGAGAACUUUUGUCAGUCAAUAUCUAGUGUUGUCCCAGGAAGACAGACUCAAUGUCUAGCAGACACUGGAAAGCCUACCUUGUAUAAGUGCAAGGGGAUCUGCUGACCCUUCCCCAUUUACUAAAGUGAGUAAAUUCCCCUCACCUUGACCUAUUAUCUGUCAAGGAAUCUCAUCACAAAUACAAUUUUCUAAGUACCAUAACAACUCAGAGCAUCCAUGAAGAAAAACAGGUAAUAGUUGCUAUGAAAAUGUGACCAAAUUGUAAAUUAAUAGUUUAAUAUGCUGGAUUUAAAAUCACCACACUAUGAAUUUAUGAUUGGUAUGAAACUUGUAAGUAGAUCUGAUCAUAUCUAAAAGAACUGUUAAAAUUGAGUUUCUGAACUUUGCCAAAAUCAAAGAUUAGUAUUCUUAAUGACUCAAAAAGACAGAUAAAUGAAAAAUAAGAAAAAUUAAAUUAAGAAAGUUAGCCAGCCUCUUAAUGUACAUCAUUUUAUCAGUAUCUUUCAUGCAUUAAAUUA
Molecule: long non-coding RNA, 1182 nt
Organism: Saimiri boliviensis boliviensis (Bolivian squirrel monkey)
Lineage: Eukaryota; Metazoa; Chordata; Mammalia; Primates; Cebidae
Source: RefSeq, a predicted model, not a curated record